CCUGCCCCAAGAAGCAGUGCAAGUGUGGCUGCUAUGUCACAUCUUUACCACUAGGUGGCAGAGAGGAGCGACGAUGUCUAUGCUCUGAUUAGUAGCCUAACGUU
Molecule: small nucleolar RNA, 104 nt
Filed under: Mus pahari (shrew mouse)
Lineage: Eukaryota; Metazoa; Chordata; Mammalia; Rodentia; Muridae
Description: snoRNA (MGP_PahariEiJ_G0034621.1)
Rfam family: Small nucleolar RNA SNORA17
About the family: snoRNA ACA 17 belongs to the H/ACA family of snoRNAs and is predicted to guide pseudouridylation of the 28S rRNA at positions U4659 and U4598. It shares the same host gene together with ACA43.
Source: RNAcentral